GCGGUUAUACGAGAGGCCCGAGUUGAUGGAUAUCGGCGUAAAGAGUGGUUAAGGCAAAAUUGACACUAAAGCCGAAUGUAUACAAAGCUGUUAUACGCACUCGAAAAUAAGAAGCUCAAUCACGAAAGUAGCUUUACAUCCCCUGAACCCACGAAACCUAAGACA
Molecule: ribosomal RNA, 165 nt
Filed under: Plectranthias wheeleri (spotted perchlet)
Lineage: Eukaryota; Metazoa; Chordata; Actinopteri; Perciformes; Anthiadidae
Description: partial 12S ribosomal RNA
Source: RNAcentral